RNAcentral lists this ribosomal RNA (479 nucleotides) under uncultured bacterium. Its description in RNAcentral is "partial 16S ribosomal RNA". It matches the Rfam family "Bacterial small subunit ribosomal RNA", at positions 28 to 507 of the family's 1533-position model. The record is from RNAcentral.
GAUGAACGCUAGCGGGAGGCCUAACACAUGCAAGCCGAGCGGUAUUGUUUCUUCGGAAAUGAGAGAGCGGCGUACGGGUGCGUAACACGUGUGCAACCUGCCUUUAUCUGGGGGAUAGCCUUUCGAAAGGAAGAUUAAUACUCCAUAAUAUAUUGAACGGCAUCGUUUAAUAUUGAAAGCUCCGGCGGAUAGAGAUGGGCACGCGCAAGAUUAGCUAGUUGGUGAGGUAACGGCUCACCAAGGCGAUGAUCUUUAGGGGGCCUGAGGGGGUGAUCCCCCACACUGGUACUGAGACACGGACCAGAAUACUACGGGAGGCAGCAGUGAGGUAUAUUGGUCAAUGGACGCAAGCCUGAGCCAGCCAUCCCGCGUGAAGGACGACUGCCCUCUGGGUUGUAAACUUCUUUUGUAUAGGGAUAAACCUACCCUCGAGAGGGUAGCUGAAGGUACUAUACGAAUAAGCACCGGCUAACUCCGUG